RNAcentral lists this ribosomal RNA (1547 nucleotides) under Klebsiella pneumoniae. RNAcentral's name for it is "bacterial SSU rRNA". It matches the Rfam family "Bacterial small subunit ribosomal RNA". The record is from RNAcentral. Lineage: Bacteria; Pseudomonadati; Pseudomonadota; Gammaproteobacteria; Enterobacterales; Enterobacteriaceae.
AAAUUGAAGAGUUUGAUCAUGGCUCAGAUUGAACGCUGGCGGCAGGCCUAACACAUGCAAGUCGAGCGGUAGCACAGAGAGCUUGCUCUCGGGUGACGAGCGGCGGACGGGUGAGUAAUGUCUGGGAAACUGCCUGAUGGAGGGGGAUAACUACUGGAAACGGUAGCUAAUACCGCAUAACGUCGCAAGACCAAAGUGGGGACCUUCGGGCCUCAUGCCAUCAGAUGUGCCCAGAUGGGAUUAGCUAGUAGGUGGGGUAAUGGCUCACCUAGGCGACGAUCCCUAGCUGGUCUGAGAGGAUGACCAGCCACACUGGAACUGAGACACGGUCCAGACUCCUACGGGAGGCAGCAGUGGGGAAUAUUGCACAAUGGGCGCAAGCCUGAUGCAGCCAUGCCGCGUGUGUGAAGAAGGCCUUCGGGUUGUAAAGCACUUUCAGCGGGGAGGAAGGCGUUAAGGUUAAUAACCUUGGCGAUUGACGUUACCCGCAGAAGAAGCACCGGCUAACUCCGUGCCAGCAGCCGCGGUAAUACGGAGGGUGCAAGCGUUAAUCGGAAUUACUGGGCGUAAAGCGCACGCAGGCGGUCUGUCAAGUCGGAUGUGAAAUCCCCGGGCUCAACCUGGGAACUGCAUUCGAAACUGGCAGGCUAGAGUCUUGUAGAGGGGGGUGGAAUUCCAGGUGUAGCGGUGAAAUGCGUAGAGAUCUGGAGGAAUACCGGUGGCGAAGGCGGCCCCCUGGACAAAGACUGACGCUCAGGUGCGAAAGCGUGGGGAGCAAACAGGAUUAGAUACCCUGGUAGUCCACGCCGUAAACGAUGUCGAUUUGGAGGUUGUGCCCUUGAGGCGUGGCUUCCGGAGCUAACGCGUUAAAUCGACCGCCUGGGGAGUACGGCCGCAAGGUUAAAACUCAAAUGAAUUGACGGGGGCCCGCACAAGCGGUGGAGCAUGUGGUUUAAUUCGAUGCAACGCGAAGAACCUUACCUGGUCUUGACAUCCACAGAACUUUCCAGAGAUGGAUUGGUGCCUUCGGGAACUGUGAGACAGGUGCUGCAUGGCUGUCGUCAGCUCGUGUUGUGAAAUGUUGGGUUAAGUCCCGCAACGAGCGCAACCCUUAUCCUUUGUUGCCAGCGGUUAGGCCGGGAACUCAAAGGAGACUGCCAGUGAUAAACUGGAGGAAGGUGGGGAUGACGUCAAGUCAUCAUGGCCCACGACCGUGGCUACACACGUGCUACAAUGGCAUAUACAAAGAGAAGCGACCUCGCGAGAGCAAGCGGACCUCAUAAAGUAUGUCGUAGUCCGGAUUGGAGUCUGCAACUCGACUCCAUGAAGUCGGAAUCGCUAGUAAUCGUAGAUCAGAAUGCUACGGUGAAUACGUUCCCGGGCCUUGUACACACCGCCCGUCACACCAUGGGAGUGGGUUGCAAAAGAAGUAGGUAGCUUAACCUUCGGGAGGGCGCUUACCACUUUGUGAUUCAUGACUGGGGUGAAGUCGUAACAAGGUAACCGUAGGGGAACCUGCGGUUGGAUCACCUCCUUACCUUAAAGAA